RNAcentral lists this long non-coding RNA (473 nucleotides) under Heterocephalus glaber (naked mole-rat). Its description in RNAcentral is "lncRNA (ENSHGLG00000030139.2)". The record is from RNAcentral. Lineage: Eukaryota; Metazoa; Chordata; Mammalia; Rodentia; Bathyergidae.
CUCGUGGGCUGCUAGGGGGUGAGCUGGGAAGCACCGAGCUGUGGCCAUGAAUUCACCCGUGGACCCCAGCGCCUGGCAAGUGCUGAGGAAGAAGCCACCUGAGCGGACCCCUGAGGCUGAACACUCUUAAAGAACCAAGCUACAUAUGUGGUGCAACUGGUCUCCAGAGCCGCCCGCUCCCACAGCAUAUCCAGUGGUUCCAGUGCCGAGCUGGAACCAGAGGAUGACGUGGAAACCAGAUCAAAAGGGAACCUGAGCUACAAAGACCUCUGUGGCACCAAAGGGAAUAAAAAAGAAGAAAGAACUCCUUGCAUGGUCUUCCUACGAUUAAAGAUUGGAAAUACACAAAACUGAGCACAAACAGAUGCAGCUUCUUGUGAUUCUGGAGCCUAUGGUGGUCCAAGGUGAUUGCUCUCAGCCUUGGCUAUAUAUUAGAAUCGCCAGAAAAACAUUUAAUAAACACCAACAUCUGG